ACGUGAUCCAGGCUUCGGUCCGGUGAAAUUGGCAGACGGGUGAGUAACGCGUGGGAACCUGCCCUGUGGUAGGGAAUAACCGCGGGAAACUGCGGCUAAUACCCUAUGAGUCCUUCGGGAGAAAGAUUUAUCGCCAUAGGAGGGGCCCGCGUCGGAUUAGGUAGUUGGUGGGGUAACGGCCUACCAAGCCUUCGAUCCGUAGCUGGUCUGAGAGGAUGAUCAGCCACACUGGGACGUGAGAUACAGCCCAGACUCCUACGGGAGGCAGCAGUGGGGAAUAUUGGACAAUGGGGGCAACCCUGAUCCAGCAAUGCCGCGUGGGUGAUGAAGGCCUUCGGGUUGUAAAGCCCUUUCGGCGGGGAAGAUGAUGACGGUACCCGCAGAAGAAGCCCCGGCUAACUUCGUGCCAGCAGCCGCGGUAAUACGAAGGGGGCUAGCGUUGCUCGGAAUUACUGGGCGUAAAGGGCGCGUAGGCUGUGCUGUAAGUCAGGCG
RNAcentral lists this ribosomal RNA (493 nucleotides) under uncultured Rhodospirillaceae bacterium. Its description in RNAcentral is "bacterial SSU rRNA". It matches the Rfam family "Bacterial small subunit ribosomal RNA", at positions 66 to 594 of the family's 1533-position model. Lineage: Bacteria; Pseudomonadati; Pseudomonadota; Alphaproteobacteria; Rhodospirillales; Rhodospirillaceae. The record is from RNAcentral.